This is an RNA transcript of Aethalodelphis obliquidens (Pacific white-sided dolphin), 4690 nucleotides long. It is a transcript of the gene named TATA-box binding protein associated factor 2, with no coding region annotated. The transcript has 28 exons. The record is from RefSeq and is a predicted model, not a curated record. Lineage: Eukaryota; Metazoa; Chordata; Mammalia; Artiodactyla; Delphinidae.
GGCUGUCCCACUUCCGCUGACGUCGCAGGUCAGAGGUGACCGGCAAGAUGUCGGCUGGCUAGCGCUGUCGGUGCUUGGUGUGAGGAGCAUCUCCGUGACAGAAGCUCGGCGGAGACAGCCGACGGAGCCGAAUCGCGGGAGAGAGUUGGAGGCGUUGGCGGCGGCAGAUCGGGCAGGGCCGGGAGUGGGUGCCGAGGGAGCCCCGGCCGCGGGGUGUGACUGUUGGGUGCGCGGGGGAGCGGGGAGUGUCAGGUGCCGGAGACCGGUAAUGCCCCGCCGCCCCUCGGAAAGCCGGGAAGCCGAGCUCCGCGGGGUCUCUUCAUGCCGCCGACUGGUUUAGAGCCCGCCAGAAUGAACAGGAAGAAAGGAGACAAGGGCUUUGAAAGCCCAAGGCCCUAUAAAUUAACUCAUCAGGUCGUCUGCAUCAACAACAUAAACUUCCAGAGAAAAUCCGUUGUGGGAUUUGUGGAACUGACUAUAUUUCCCACAGUUGCAAACUUAAAUAGAAUCAAGUUGAACAGCAAACAGUGUAGAAUAUACCGAGUAAGGAUCAACGAUUUAGAAGCUGCUUUUAUUUAUAAUGAUCCAACCUUGGAAGUUUGUCACAAUGAAUCAAAACAGAGAAAUCUCAAUUAUUUUUCCAAUGCUUACGCAGCUGCGGUUAGUGCUGUGGAUCCUGAUGCAGGAAAUGGAGAACUUUGCAUUAAGGUUCCAUCAGAAUUAUGGAAGCACGUUGAUGAAUUAAAGGUGCUAAAGAUACACAUCAAUUUUUCUUUGGAUCAGCCAAAAGGAGGUCUUCAUUUUGUGGUACCCAGUGUAGAGGGAAGUAUGGCAGAGAGAGGUGCUCAUGUUUUCUCUUGUGGGUAUCAAAAUUCCACAAGAUUUUGGUUCCCAUGUGUUGAUUCAUACUCUGAAUUAUGUACAUGGAAAUUAGAAUUUACAGUGGAUGCUGCAAUGGUGGCUGUUUCCAAUGGAGAUUUGGUGGAGACAGUGUAUACCCAUGAUAUGAGGAAGAAAACCUUCCAUUACAUGCUUACCAUUCCAACAGCUGCGUCGAAUAUCUCCUUGGCCAUUGGACCUUUUGAAAUACUUGUAGAUCCAUAUAUGCAUGAGGUUACUCAUUUUUGUUUACCUCAGCUUCUUCCAUUGCUUAAACAUACCACGUCGUAUCUUCAUGAAGUUUUUGAAUUUUAUGAAGAAAUUCUUACAUGUCGAUACCCAUAUUCUUGUUUUAAGACUGUAUUCAUCGAUGAGGCUUAUGUUGAAGUGGCUGCUUAUGCUUCCAUGAGCAUUUUUAGCACAAAUCUGUUACACAGUGCCAUGAUUAUAGAUGAGACACCUUUGACUAGAAGGUGUUUAGCCCAGUCCUUGGCCCAGCAGUUUUUUGGAUGUUUCAUAUCCAGAAUGUCUUGGUCUGAUGAAUGGGUAUUGAAGGGAAUUUCAGGCUAUAUUUAUGGUCUCUGGAUGAAAAAAACUUUUGGUGUUAAUGAAUAUCGCCAUUGGAUUAAAGAGGAGCUGGACAAAAUAGUGGCGUAUGAACUAAAAACUGGUGGAGUUUUAUUACAUCCCAUAUUUGGUGGAGGAAAAGAGAAGGAUAAUCCAGCAUCCCAUCUACACUUUUCCAUAAAGCAUCCACAUACGCUUUCCUGGGAAUACUACACUAUGUUUCAGUGUAAAGCUCACCUUGUGAUGAGAUUGAUUGAAAACAGAAUCAGUAUGGAAUUUAUGUUACAAGUUUUCAAUAAACUGCUAAGUUUGGCUAGUACUGCUUCAUCUCAGAAGUUCCAGUCACAUAUGUGGAGUCAGAUGUUGGUUUCCACAUCUGGAUUUUUGAAAUCCAUCUCGAAUGUCUCUGGCAAAGACAUCCAGCCUUUAAUAAAGCAGUGGGUAGACCAGAGCGGAGUGGUAAAAUUUUAUGGAAGUUUUGCCUUUAAUAGAAAACGAAAUGUCUUGGAAUUGGAAAUAAAACAAGAUUAUACAUCUCCUGGAACUCAGAAAUAUGUGGGACCACUUAAAGUGACAGUACAGGAGUUAGAUGGAUCCUUCAAUCAUACAUUGCAAAUUGAAGAAAACAGUCUUAAACAUGAUAUACCCUGCCAUUCCAAAAGCAGAAGGAAUAAGAAGAAAAAAAUUCCACUGAUGAAUGGAGAAGAAGUUGACAUGGAUCUUUCUGCAAUGGAUGCUGAUUCUCCUUUGCUGUGGAUAAGGAUAGACCCAGACAUGUCGGUAUUGAGGAAAGUAGAAUUUGAGCAAGCAGAUUUUAUGUGGCAGUAUCAGCUCCGCUAUGAGAGGGAUGUUGUGGCACAGCAAGAGUCCAUUUUGGCCUUGGAAAAGUUCCCCACUCCAGCAUCUCGGCUUGCCCUAACUGACAUAUUAGAACAGGAGCAGUGUUUCUACCGCGUGAGAAUGUCAGCUUGCUUCUGCCUUGCAAAGAUUGCAAAUUCAAUGGUGAGCACAUGGACAGGACCACCAGCCAUGAAGUCACUCUUCACUAGGAUGUUUUGUUGUAAAACUUGUCCAAACAUUGUGAAAACAAACAACUUUAUGAGCUUUCAAAGUUACUUUCUACAGAAGACUAUGCCAGUUGCGAUGGCUUUAUUGAGAGAUGUUCAUAACCUUUGUCCCAAAGAAGUCUUAACAUUUAUUUUAGACUUAAUCAAGUACAAUGACAACAGAAAAAAUAAGUUUUCAGAUAACUAUUAUCGUGCAGAAAUGAUUGAUGCCCUUGCCAACUCUGUUACGCCUGCAGUCAGUGUGAAUAAUGAAGUUCGAACUUUGGAUAAUUUAAAUCCGGAUGUGCGACUCAUUCUUGAAGAAAUCACUAGGUUUUUGAAUAUGGAAAAACUUCUUCCGAGUUAUAGACACACCAUCACUGUCAGUUGUUUGAGAGCCAUACGAGUGCUUCAGAAGAAUGGCCAUGUGCCAAGUGAUCCAGCUCUUUUUAAAUCUUACGCAGAAUAUGGCCACUUUGUGGACAUCAGGAUAGCAGCUUUGGAAGCAGUUGUUGACUAUACUAAAGUGGACAGGAGUUAUGAAGAAUUGCAAUGGCUACUUAAUAUGAUUCAGAAUGACCCUGUACCCUAUGUAAGACAUAAGAUUCUAAACAUGUUAACUAAGAACCCACCAUUUACUAAGAACAUGGAGUCUCCCUUAUGCAAUGAAGCUUUGGUAGAUCAACUUUGGAAACUUAUGAAUUCUGGUACUUCACAUGACUGGCGGUUACGGUGUGGUGCUGUGGACUUGUACUUCACACUGUUUGGCCUCAGUAGACCUUCCUGCUUACCCUUGCCAGAACUUGGCUUGGUCCUUAAUCUGAAAGAGAAAAAAGCUGUCUUGAAUCCAACCAUAAUUCCAGAGGCCAUAGCAGGCAACCAAGAAGCUGCGGUUAAUCCAAGUAGUCACACACAGCUAGUUGGAUUUCAGAACCCUGAAGAUGAUCACCUUGCCAAGGAAGCAUCAUGUAAUAUAUCAGCUCAUCAGCAGGGAGUGAAGAGGAAGGCUGAUACACCACUGGGGUCCCCACUAGAACCUGGUCAAAUACUGGAGAAGAAUGAGGAUAGCAGUAAAGUCAAACUCAAAAUCAGAUUUUCAAGCUCUCAAGAUGAGGAGGAGAUUGAUAUGGAUACUGUUCAUGAUAGCCAGGCGUUCAUUUCCCAUCAUUUAAACAUGCUUGAAAGGCCGUCAACUCCAGGGCUCUCUAAAUACCGGCCAGCCAGCUCCCGAUCUGCUUUAAUCCCCCAGCACUCAUCAGGUUCUGAUGGCACACCCAUCACAAAACCCCAGUGGAAUAUGGAACUUGCACGAAAGGGAACAGAAAUUGCUGCACUGAAGUCUAAGGAUUUUGUUCUGCCAGUAGAACUACCUGAGUUUUUAAACAAGUAAUCAUGAUAGCUUUGUUUUUAGGAAGAUAACUAUGCACUAGGGCCUCUGAACUUCAACACUGUUGACAUUUUUGGCCAUGAGAAUUCUUUGCUCUAGGAGGCUGUCCUGUGUUUUGAAUGUUUGGCAGCAUCCCUAGCCUCUACGCACAGUCAGGCUAACACUUCCUCCCCCCAUCCCACCCUAAUCGUGACAACAAAAACGUCUCCAGACAUUGUCAAACAACCCCUGGGGAGAAAAGUUGCCCCUGUUUGAGAACCGCUGCUGUGAAGCUAUGUAAAGUGUGGAUUCAAGUGUAAGACACUUCAGGCAAAGAAACCAGUUCAUAGGAGACUAGUACUGUGAUCCAAAUGAGAUGAGGUGGUCUGAAUUAGUACAGUUGCAGGCGGGAUAGAGAGGCAGAUUAAAGAGAUUCUUGUAAGUAAGAAUAAACAAGAUUUGGUAAGCAGCUAGAUCUGGAAGGGAGGGCACCUGAGAUGAUUAAGUUUUUUUCUUACUUGGCUGCAUGUAAAGCAGUGUCAUUAACCUAGAGUAAUAGAGAGAGAGAAUUCUCUGGGUAUGGCCCAAGAAUUGUAGGGUAUGGAGGAAGCAAGAAAUUCCCGUACACUAGAGUCUGAGAACUACUCACUAUUAUAGAUUCCUAGGCUGAUAGAACAUUGGAAAUGGAAAGAACCUUCAAAGACAUUUGAUCCAUUUCUAGGUAAAGAACAAUCACCUUUGGAGAUGAGUAUGCAUCCAGUUGCAGCAGCUCCACUCUCAGUAUUUACUAAAGAAUCUACGUCCUCCAAACACAGCGACCACCAUCACCACC